RNAcentral lists this ribosomal RNA (305 nucleotides) under uncultured bacterium. RNAcentral's name for it is "bacterial SSU rRNA". It matches the Rfam family "Bacterial small subunit ribosomal RNA", at positions 338 to 660 of the family's 1533-position model. The record is from RNAcentral.
CCUACGGGAGGCAGCAGUGGGGAAUAUUGCACAAUGGGGGAAACCCUGAUGCAGCGACGCCGCGUGAGCGAAGAAGUAUUUCGGUAUGUAAAGCUCUAUCAGCAGGGAAGAAAAUGACGGUACCUGACUAAGAAGCCCCGGCUAAAUACGUGCCAGCAGCCGCGGUAAUACGUAUGGGGCAAGCGUUAUCCGGAUUUACUGGGUGUAAAGGGAGCGCAGGCGGCUUGGCAAGUCUGAUGUGAAAGGUCGGGGCCCAACCCCGGGACUGCAUUGGAAACUGUUGAACUGGAGUACAGGAGAGGUAA